Molecule: ribosomal RNA, 497 nt
Filed under: uncultured bacterium
Lineage: Bacteria
Description: partial 16S ribosomal RNA
Rfam family: Bacterial small subunit ribosomal RNA
Source: RNAcentral
GACGAACGCUGGCGGCGUGCCUAAUACAUGCAAGUAGAACGCUGAAGCUUGGUGCUUGCACCGAGCGGAUGAGUUGCGAACGGGUGAGUAACGCGUAGGUAACCUGCCUGGUAGCGGGGGAUAACUAUUGGAAACGAUAGCUAAUACCGCAUAAUAGUAGAUGUUGCAUGACAUUUGCUUAAAAGGUGCAAUUGCAUCACUACCAGAUGGACCUGCGUUGUAUUAGCUAGUUGGUGAGGUAACGGCUCACCAAGGCAACGAUACAUAGCCGACCUGAGAGGGUGAUCGGCCACACUGGGACUGAGACACGGCCCAGACUCCUACGGGAGGCAGCAGUAGGGAAUCUUCGGCAAUGGACGGAAGUCUGACCGAGCAACGCCGCGGGAGUGAAGAAGGGUUUCGGAUCGUAAAGCUCUGUUGUAAGAGAAGAACGAGUGUGAGAGUGGAAAGUUCACACUGUGACGGUACCUUACCAGAAAGGGACGGCUAACUACGUG